CAACGGUCCGUCACAUUUAGUGGCAGCGGUGGGAUGGCGUCCUAGUGCGAGGACCAGCAGCUCGGAGACACCGGUAACGUGUGGAGUUACGGAUUUAUAAUUGAGGGCAACGCUAGCCUCUGCGCAGCGUCCCUACCUACAGCAACAUGGAGCUAGCUAGACCCUGGACAGCAGCCAGUGAAUUGCAAAUCCGCCUGUCACAGUGCUAUGAGGGUGCUGAUUUCAUGAAGGAAGUAAAGGCGCGGCUGGUCUGGUUUGGCCCAAACCCUUCAGAUGAGGUGGUCCAUCAAGUGAUGCGCAUGUUGAGUGCUGAG
Pelobates cultripes (western spadefoot toad) is the source of this 314-nucleotide non-coding RNA. Lineage: Eukaryota; Metazoa; Chordata; Amphibia; Anura; Pelobatidae. The record is from the annotation of a GenBank genome assembly.